Molecule: ribosomal RNA, 250 nt
Filed under: uncultured bacterium
Lineage: Bacteria
Also listed under: 1 other name
Description: partial 16S ribosomal RNA
Rfam family: Bacterial small subunit ribosomal RNA
Source: RNAcentral
UACGGAGGGUGCAAGCGUUAAUCGGAAUUACUGGGCGUAAAGCGCGCGUAGGUGGUUAGGUAAGCGAGAUGUGAAAGCCCCGGGCUUAACCUGGGAACGGCAUUUCGAACUGUCUGACUAGAGUGUGGUAGAGGGUAGUGGAAUUUCCUGUGUAGCGGUGAAAUGCGUAGAUAUAGGAAGGAACACCAGUGGCGAAGGCGGCUACCUGGACCAACACUGACACUGAGGUGCGAAAGCGUGGGGAGCAAAC